AGAGUUUGAUCAUGGCUCAGGACGAACGCUGACGGUGUGCUUUAGGUAUGCAAGUCGAACGAGAAAGCCCUUCGGGGUGAGUAGAGUGGCGAACGGGUGAGUAACACGUGGGCAACCUGCCCCUCGCAGGGGGAUAACCGGAGGAAACUCCGGCUAAUACCCCGUAAGCUUUCAGGGUCGCAUGGCCCUGUAAGGAAAGGUAGCUUCGGCCAUCCGGCGAGGGAUGGGCCCGCGGUGCAUUAGCUAGUUGGUAGGGUAAUGGCCUACCAAGGCAACGAUCGGUAGCUGGUCUGAGAGGACGGACAGCCACACGGGGACUGAGAUACGGCCCCGACUCCUACGGGAGGCAGCAGCUAGGAAUCUUGGGAAUGGGCGAAAGCCUGACCCAGCAACGCCGCGUGGGCGAUGAAGGCCUUCGGGUCGUAAAGCCCUUUUGCAGGGGAAGAUAAUGACGGUACCCUGCGAAUAAGCCACGGCUAACUACGUGCCAGCAGCCGCGGUAAUACGUAGGUGGCAAGCGUUGUCCGGAUUUACUGGGCGUAAAGGGCGUGCAGGCGGUUUGCUAAGUCUAGGGUGAAAGCUCCCGGCUCAACUGGGAGAGGUCCUUGGAUACUGGCAAACUUGAGGGAUGCAGAGGAAAGUGGAAUUCCCGGUGUAGUGGUGAUAUGCGUAGAUAUCGGGAGGAACACCAGUGGCGAAGGCGGCUUUCUGGGCAUUUCCUGACGCUGAGACGCGAAAGCGUGGGGAGCGAACCGGAUUAGAUACCCUGGUAGUCC
RNAcentral lists this ribosomal RNA (776 nucleotides) under uncultured soil bacterium. Its description in RNAcentral is "bacterial SSU rRNA". It matches the Rfam family "Bacterial small subunit ribosomal RNA", at positions 8 to 796 of the family's 1533-position model. The record is from RNAcentral.